Molecule: ribosomal RNA, 474 nt
Filed under: uncultured bacterium
Lineage: Bacteria
Description: bacterial SSU rRNA
Rfam family: Bacterial small subunit ribosomal RNA
Source: RNAcentral
GAUGAACGCUAGCGGCAGGGCCUAAUACAUGCAAGUCAAGGGGCCAGUAUGGCACCGGCGGACGGGUGCGUAACGCGUACACAACGUUACCCUUUGGGGUGGGGGGAUAGCAUCGGGAAACUGGUGGUAAUACCCCAUGGUAUUGGAGACUGGCAUCUAGUUUUUAUGUUAAAGAUUUAUUGCCAGAAGAUGGGUGUGCGUAUGAUUAGGUAGUUGGUAGGGUAACGGCCUACCAAGCCAACGAUCAUUAACUGGUGUGAGAGCACGACCAGUCACACGGGCACUGAGACACGGGCCCGACUCCUACGGGAGGCAGCAGUAAGGAAUAUUGGUCAAUGGACGGAAGUCUGAACCAGCCAUGCCGCGUGGAGGAUGAAGGUCCUCUGGAUUGUAAACUUCUUUUAUAGGGGGCGAAAAAAGGCCAUUCUUGGUCGUCUGACGGUACCCUAUGAAUAAGCACCGGCUAACUCCGUG